Molecule: ribosomal RNA, 316 nt
Filed under: uncultured bacterium
Lineage: Bacteria
Description: bacterial SSU rRNA
Rfam family: Bacterial small subunit ribosomal RNA
Source: RNAcentral
GACGAACGCUGGCGGCGUGCCUAAUACAUGCAAGUCGAACGCACUCUCGUUUAGAUUGAAGGAGCUUGCUCCUGAUUGAUAAACAUUUGAGUGAGUGGCGGACGGGUGAGUAACACGUGGGUAACCUGCCCUAAAGUGGGGGAUAACAUUUGGAAACAGAUGCUAAUACCGCAUAAAACCUAAACACCGCAUGGUGUAGGGUUGAAAGAUGGUUUCGGCUAAUCACUUUAGGAUGGACCCGCGGUGCAUUAGUUAGUUGGUGAGGUAAAGGCUCGCCAAAGACCGUGAUGCAUAGCCGACCUGAGAGGGUAAUCGG